Non-coding RNA from Salmo salar (Atlantic salmon), 2775 nucleotides. NCBI's taxonomy places the organism in Eukaryota, Metazoa, Chordata, Actinopteri, Salmoniformes, Salmonidae. The record is from RefSeq and is a predicted model, not a curated record.
CAGUAUGGAGCAGGCUGUGUGGCUGCUGGGCGUCCUGUGUCUGCAAGUCUGUCUGCUCUCCACCACAGCCCUCCCUGACCAGACAGACGAACAGCAGCCUUACAAACCAACCAAGCCAUGGACCUCUGCCAUUCAGGACCUCUAUACCAGGUGGUGUCAGAAGAAAGCCAUUAACAUUGUCAAAGACUCCAGCCACCCGAGUCAUAGACUGUUCUCUCUGCUAUCGCAUGGCAAGCGGUACCGAUGCUCCAAGUCUGGAACCAACAGGGCCUUGAACAGCUUCUACCCCCAAGCCAUAAGACCGCUAAAUACGGUAAAACUUCAAUUAGUAGCUCAGGCAUUUAUCACUGAACACCAACAGCGCUUAUUGGAGUCUAUUUCCUUAAUUCACACAGCUUUUGCUCAAUAAAAUGCUGAAAAGACCACCGCACUGUUUACUGUGACCAGUAUGACCAGUAUAAACAUUAUAAUAACAAAUCCAUCGCAGAUCAGACUUGCAAAGACUAGGCUGCCUAUCAUACACCCCCAAUUUCACACUUCAGCACCAUUCUCUCACCAGUUUCACCUUGUUGAGCUUUGUAUCCCCCGUAGUUCCAAUCACAUCUGAUAGAAUUCACUAUUCAACGUUUGUCCAGGUCCCCAGGACAUUGUGAGAUGCCUUCAAUACCGUCCACUUGGGGCAACUUAACCAUCAAAGUUAAUUAUGAUUGACCGUCAAUUUUUUUCUGUUUUAACAACCUUUUAACAGCCUUACCUACUUUCUCUUAGACAUUUAUCUCCCCCUGGACAGAUGUUGAAUACUGAAGUGAGACCGUGAGAUCUCGUUGCUAGUUGAGCUGACCAUGUCACCACACUUCUGUUUCAUCCAUGGCAAGGAUGUGGAUCUCCUUUCUCUUCUUUUGCGCAAUCUUUGCACACUCACUGUAGUUCACUCAUAAACAAGAGAAUUUAGACCCUGAGUUUAUUUGAAACAGGCUCUUAUUGGCUGAUACUGUAUGUGUGUCGAUGCCCGACUAUUAAAAAGAACAGGCAGCUAUUUGAGACUGCGUUUAUCUGAAGUUUUACGGUAGUUAGUUAAAUAGUUAACCAACAGCUACCCGGACUAUCUGCGUUGACUCUUUUUUACUCUUCACAUAUGCUGCUGCUACUGUUUUUUUUAUCUAUCCUGUUGCGUAGUCACUCUAUUCCUAGUUAUAUGUACAUAAUUACCUCAAUUACCUCGUACCCCUGCACAUCGACUCGGUACUGGUACCCUGUGUAUAUAGCCAAGUUAUCGUUACUCAUUGUGUAUUUAUUAUUGCCUUUUUAUUAUUAAGUGUUAUUACUUUUCUAUUAUUUCUCUAUUUUCUUUCUCUCUGCAUUGUUGGGAAGGGCCCGUAAGCAUUUCACUGUUAGUCUACACCUGUUGUUUACAAAGCAUGUGAAUAAUAAUAUUUGAUUUGAAUUGAAUUAUAGUAAUAGAGAAUGGAAAUGUACGAAUAGAUGAAUUGCUAUCAUAUUCAUAUUUCUGUGAGGCUUAUGUUCAGAAGGUUUUUUUACUUCCGAUGUUCGUUUCUCAAUAACUAAUUCCUAUUAACAAUGAGGAUGCAAUUGUUGUAUUGGGUAAUAUCCUGCUGAUGUAGAAAUUGUAUGGUGUCAAAGAUAAUACCAACUCCUUAUCUUAUCUGAGGGUACAGUUCCAGUGCUAGAGAAGUUACAUUGCGCCAUUGGGGUUGUCGAAGCAAUUGUCAUGGUAACAUGGUGCUGUCAGCUCCCUACCAAAAACCCAUGUAAUGUUAUUCAUCCACACGUACAAGAGAGCUAUCCAAGCCUACUGUAGCUAGGCUGGCUGGGCUGUCUGUCCACUUUAGUGAAGAUACAUGUUAUAUAAUACAUGAACUCCACUAACAUCACUAAGGUAUGAAAAUAUAUGCAGUCAACAGGAAGGCUCAUGUCCAAUCAUACAGUGAGCACCACCUCAGAUGAGAAACAAUUAACCCACAACUUCAGAAACUGAAUUUCAUAAGAACCACUGUCUGAUUCCACUCUCAUCUGGCCUCAGAGUUCAAGGACUAAGAGGCAGACUGAGGCCGAGGGCCAAUGCAAGAACGGUUGUCUCUCCCUCAUAGGAGAGAUGAGUGGACUCUCCAGAAUGCCUGGGCCUCCUACCGGUUGGAGUUUAAGGAUUAAGAGGCAGAAGAAAUUCAGGAGUGAAUGCAAGAAAAACCAGAAAAUGUGUCGCUCCCGCCCAGGAACCUUCACACUCAUGAAUGCUCCAGAGCGCAGUUGGGUAAAACACCAACAACCAAAGAGGUUGUUAGUAAAGCAGAAGCUGAGAAAAGUGAUGUUUUCUUAUGGUUUGACAAUAUGUAUCACGUUUCAGGUAAGACCCAGAUGCAGAACAUGUUGAAUAAACAACAGUUUAUUAAUCCAACAGGGGCAGGCAAAAGACAGGUCAAGGCAUGCAGGGGUCAGUAAUCCAGAUAGACAGGGCAAAGGUACAGGACGGCAGGCAGGCUCAGGGCAGGCACAAAAGGUCAAAACCAGGAAAACAAGAAAACAGGAACAAUCGAGAGCCAUUGGUUUUGUCUUGUCUUCCAUCACACCUGCUUCCAAUUCCAUCAAUUACAUGUUGUGUAUUUAACCCUCUGUUCCCCCCCAUGUCCUUGUCCGUAAUUGUUUGUUGCAGUGCUUGUGCACGGUAUGCUGGUAUUUUACCGGGUUUUGUUUUACCCAUUUAUUGUAUUGUUCUGUUGACGAUGGUUUAUGAUUAUUAAACACAACCGUUGUAAAUCA